This 253-nucleotide ribosomal RNA is filed under the name uncultured bacterium. RNAcentral's name for it is "partial 16S ribosomal RNA". It matches the Rfam family "Bacterial small subunit ribosomal RNA", at positions 524 to 776 of the family's 1533-position model. The record is from RNAcentral.
UACGUGGGGGGCUAGCGUUGUCCGGAAUCAUUGGGCGUAAAGCGCGUGUAGGCGGUCCGGUAAGUCCGCUGUGAAAGUCGGGGGCUCAACCCUCGAAUGCCGGUGGAUACUGUCGGGCUAGAGUGCGGAAGAGGCGAGUGGAAUUCCUGGUGUAGCGGUGAAAUGCGCAGAUAUCAGGAGGAACACCAAUUGCGAAGGCAGCUCGCUGGGACGUAACUGACGCUGAGACGCGAAAGCGUGGGGAGCAAACAGG